UACGUAGGGCGCAAGCGUUGUCCGGAAUUAUUGGGCGUAAAGAGCUCGUAGGCGGUCUGUUACGUCCGCUGUGAAAACCCAGGGCUUAACCCUGGGCUUGCAGUGGAUACGGGUAGACUAGAGGCAGGUAGGGGAGAAUGGAAUUCCCGGUGUAGCGGUGAAAUGCGCAGAUAUCGGGAGGAACACCGGUGGCGAAGGCGGUUCUCUGGGCCUGACCUGACGCUGAGGAGCGAAAGCGUGGGAAGCGAACAGG
This 253-nucleotide ribosomal RNA is filed under the name uncultured bacterium. Its description in RNAcentral is "partial 16S ribosomal RNA". It matches the Rfam family "Bacterial small subunit ribosomal RNA", at positions 524 to 776 of the family's 1533-position model. The record is from RNAcentral.